AAGGAACCCGUCUGUCCCAACCACCACGACAACCCCCUUCCCCCCUACUCUUACCUGCAGCCCACGCAGGUCACAGCCAUUAGAUCCUUCCCCUGAAGCGCUGCUUCCCUCCUGCCGCACUCAGGGCUCCCUCCUGCCUUCCAUGCCCAGGACAGGGCCUCCCGGCCUCUCCAGGUCUCUGGAGCAGAGAGGUUGUGCCUUCCUCAUGCGGUCAGGCUCAGGCUGGGAAGGAGCGGCCCAGAGGCGGGGGGAGGCACGGGUGCGGGGCUGCCUCUUCCCCGGUAGUGGACGCUGAAGCCUGUCCACCUGAAUUGGAGGCGGGGCGGGGCAGUCGACUGACCGCCAGGCAGGGGAGCAGGGCGCGGGCUCAGAGGGAGGGAGUGGGAGGCCGAGGAAGGACAAGGUGCUUGUGGCGAUGAGUAUCAGAAGGCAGAGCGGAGCUGCUCAAGAGAGGCUGGCUCUGUGGAGCACAAACAUGCUCAUUUAAGAAGUGGAACGUGGGAGGCAGCAG
This 511-nucleotide long non-coding RNA is filed under the name Homo sapiens (human). Its description in RNAcentral is "HSALNT0239187". Lineage: Eukaryota; Metazoa; Chordata; Mammalia; Primates; Hominidae. The record is from RNAcentral.